Molecule: long non-coding RNA, 1025 nt
Organism: Prosopis cineraria
Lineage: Eukaryota; Viridiplantae; Streptophyta; Magnoliopsida; Fabales; Fabaceae
Exons: 2
Source: RefSeq, a predicted model, not a curated record
CCUCCAAACCCAUUAGAUUCGAUUCACGAAGCUUCACCAGAUCGCCUCCUCCUCCUCCUCAAGAUCCAGUCGCAACUUCAAUGCCCUCACUUUGGUCCCGCACUUGCUUUUAUCCCAAGAUAUCAUUGCUUCCCUCUCUUCUUCAAGAAAAAGAACGCAAGCGGAUCCUCGUGGAAGUAGCAUCGCCAAGCAGGUUCCGGAGCAGCGAUAGAGAUCGGCGACGAUAAGAGGUUCGGGCUCGCGAUGGCGACCAAACCAAUGUUCUGAGCAGCGGCGAGCAGGUUUACUUCAAGCGACGGCGAGAAUCAAAGCGAUUUCUGAUUCUUCCACUGGUUUGAAGAGCGUUUGAUUUCCGACAGUUUUUAUUAUCAUUUCGUGUUUGGAUAGUCUGAAAUUUAUAAUUCAAGAAGAAAUCAAUCACUUAAAUUACUCUCCCAUUGCACUUUUGGGACUAUUGAUUUUGAGUUUUGGCGAAUUGUACUCACGUAGGCAGGGAUCGAUGAAGAAGGAAGAACAUGCUCGUAGUUUGUUUGGAAUUUCUCUCUCGGACAGACCCAGAUGGCAACAAUUCGUCAUUUGUUCUUUUGGGUUGUUCUUUGGUUAUCUCGUUAACAGAAUCUGUGAGGCAGAGGGGAAGCGUGGGAAAGGGGAUGUUGGGUUUUCAUCGAAAAUGAAACAGAGAAUAAAAGGAAGAUGAUGGGUUUCUUUUUCCGGAGAACAUGUUAGAUCCGUUGGGAGAGAAGAAUUUGUGGCUGAUUUGUUGGGCGACCGUGGAUAAUAUUUUGUGGCUGACUCCGAACCGGGUUCACGAUUUUGUUGGGUUCUGGGAUCUUUCUGGAAAAAGAUUGCUUUUGGCCGAAGAAGAUUGAAGAAGCGCGGCUGCGUGGGAUUUUUCUGGAUUUUUUUUAAAAUUUUUAAAAUAUGUCACAAGGGCCGUGGCUGCUAGCAAUGCGGAUAAUGGUCAAAUUGACUGUUGAUCAACGCGAUCAAGCUAUCAUACCUAAAAGAAAAAUAUUUCGGUGAAA